UUGUGAAUGUUUCAUAACUUUACAACAGUCAUGCCUCUCUGUCAGUUUGAAGAUAAGCAUUAUCUCCCCAAAUUAUCUACUUUUCAGGAACUAAGACAGCCUUGCCGAACAACAUGUUUGACUUUUUUCAGUUAUGGUUUGAGAAGGUUCCUUAAUUCCUGCACAUUUUAAAGAUGGCAAUACCUUUAGUUUAAACUAUAAAUGAGUGAUAACAGGAGAUGAGACCCCGUACACGCGGCAAAUUAAAGACAUUCAACAUAUUCAUAUUCCCACCUGCGAUGUCCCACAACUGAAGCCGGACAGUCUCAGAGUCCCAGUUCAACACCUUCAGGGCGAAGUCCACUCCGAUGGUUGCCCGGUAGUUGUUGGAGUAAGUCUGGUGGACGUAGCGCCUGAUGAUGGAAGUCUUCCCGACCCCCAGGUCGCCGAUAACCAGCACCUUGUACAGGUGCUCCUUCCGGAGGCUCUGCAUACCGUUGGACUGUGCUGAGUGAUUGGUCAUUCCACCUGUCGGGUUCUCAGACGCUCCAACUUCCUCUAACUUUACCUCUGUGUGAGUGUGGUUUCAGGCGUCGUCGUCCCCUUGUCCUAGAGCGUCUCCCUCUCCGCACGCAUCUAGGAACCGCCCUCCCUGUGGAGCCGUGUGUGAUCUGCUGAGGAGCUGUGCUCGGGAACUUGUGACCUCGCCUUGCCACCCGCCACCCGCCACCCAUGAGCAGUGCGCACGGUUUAUUGGAGGCACCACACCGAAGGUGCAGGUGCGGUUGUACAUGGUGCUCUCCUGCGGAUGUCCCCUCAACCGGCACUGGAAUCGGUGCUGCCAGAACUCGGGGAACCAGGGGUUCCUCAGGUUGGCAUCAGGCCUCAAGUUCAGCCCUGCGAUUGAAUGGCGACCAGUCCAGGGUGUACCCCGCCUCUCGCCC
Toxotes jaculatrix (banded archerfish) is the source of this 923-nucleotide long non-coding RNA. RefSeq lists it as uncharacterized. The transcript is spliced from 4 exons. NCBI's taxonomy places the organism in Eukaryota, Metazoa, Chordata, Actinopteri, Toxotidae. The record is from RefSeq and is a predicted model, not a curated record.